RNAcentral lists this non-coding RNA (27 nucleotides) under Homo sapiens (human). Lineage: Eukaryota; Metazoa; Chordata; Mammalia; Primates; Hominidae. The record is from RNAcentral.
UGAAAAAUGGCAUUGCCUUCAUGGGUC